UCAAGCCAAAGCCAUUAUUCUAGCUAUCUAUUUUGCUUUCUUCAUUUUAAUAUCAAGCAUGAGAGCUUAUUUGUGUCAUUGAGUUUGACUUACCUAUUUGGCCUGAAACUGUACCAACAUUAUUCGGGUGUGUUUAAGACAUUGAGUGUAAAUUUUAGGGGUUGUUUGAUAUUGUUUGCCUGCUGAACCAAAAUUUUACGGCAAACCCGAUCAAAUUUAGUUCACAUAGCAAAUCAACCCAGAAAUUCCUGAAAAUUUACCGG
Molecule: unclassified non-coding RNA, 263 nt
Filed under: Hevea brasiliensis (rubber tree)
Lineage: Eukaryota; Viridiplantae; Streptophyta; Magnoliopsida; Malpighiales; Euphorbiaceae
Source: RNAcentral